GGCUUCGUAGCUCAGCUGGUAGAGCGCUUGCCGCGUAGAGGCAUGGUGUUGCUGUCGCUGUUUCGAAUCCAGUCGAAGCCC
RNAcentral lists this transfer RNA (81 nucleotides) under Paragonimus heterotremus. It matches the Rfam family "tRNA". Rfam says of the family: Transfer RNA (tRNA) molecules are approximately 80 nucleotides in length. Lineage: Eukaryota; Metazoa; Platyhelminthes; Trematoda; Plagiorchiida; Troglotrematidae. The record is from Rfam by way of RNAcentral.